RNAcentral lists this ribosomal RNA (531 nucleotides) under uncultured fungus. RNAcentral's name for it is "eukaryotic LSU rRNA". The stretch from base 181 to 334 matches the Rfam family "5.8S ribosomal RNA". The record is from RNAcentral. Lineage: Eukaryota; Fungi.
UCCGUAGGUGAACCUGCGGAAGGAUCAUUAUCGUGGGGCUCCGGCCCUAUCGAGAUAGAACCCUUGCCUUUAUAGUACCUUCUGUUGCCUCGGCGCCCGCCUCACGGCGGCGCCAACGGGGCCAAACUAAAAACCUUUUUUUAUUCAAAGAAUCAGUCUGAAAAAACAAACAAAAAUUAAAACUUUCAACAACGGAUCUCUUGGUUCUGGCAUCGAUGAAGAACGCAGCGAAAUGCGAUAAGUAGUGUGAAUUGCAGAAUUCAGUGAAUCAUCGAAUCUUUGAACGCACAUUGCGCCCUUUGGUAUUCCUUAGGGCAUGCCUGUUCGAGCGUCAUUUAAACCUUCAAGCUCUGCUUGGUGUUGGGCAUGUCACGCCCCCCUCCGCGGGGGUGUGCGCCUCAAAUGUAUUGGCGGCCGGUACGUUGGCUUCGAGCGCAGCAGAAACGCGAACUCGGGGACUCCGGAUCGGCCCUCCACAAGCUAUUUUACCAUUUUGACCUCGGAUCAGGUAGGGAUACCCGCUGAACUUAA